RNAcentral lists this ribosomal RNA (425 nucleotides) under uncultured bacterium. Its description in RNAcentral is "partial 16S ribosomal RNA". It matches the Rfam family "Bacterial small subunit ribosomal RNA", at positions 354 to 796 of the family's 1533-position model. The record is from RNAcentral.
GUGGGGAAUAUUGGACAAUGGGCGCAAGCCUGAUCCAGCCAUGCCGCGUGAGUGAUGAAGGCCUUAGGGUUGUAAAGCUCUUUCAGUGGGGACGAUAAUGACGGUACCCACAGAAGAAGCCCCGGCUAACUUCGUGCCAGCAGCCGCGGUAAUACGAAGGGGGCUAGCGUUGUUCGGAUUUACUGGGCGUAAAGCGCACGUAGGCGGAUCGUUAAGUCGGGGGUGAAAUCCUGGAGCUGAACUCCAGAACUGCCGUCGAUACUGGCGAUCUUGAGUCCGGAAGAGGUGAGUGGAACUCCUAGUGUAGAGGUGGAAUUCGUAGAUAUUAGGAAGAACACCAGUGGCGAAGGCGGCUCACUGGUCCGGUACUGACGCUGAGGUGCGAAAGCGUGGGGAGCAAACAGGAUUAGAUACCCCGGUAGUCC